UAGCGGCGAACGGCUGAGUAACGCGUGGGAAUCUACCCAUAACUCAGGGAUAGCCCACCGAAAGGUGGAGUAAUCCCGGAUGUGGUCUUCGGAUCAAAGUCGCAAGACGGUUGUGGAUGAGCCUGCGUCCUAUCAGGUUGUUGGCAGGGUAAAAGCCUACCAAGCCUUUGACGGGUAGCUGGUCUGAGAGGAUGACCAGCCAGAAUGGGACUGAGACACGGCCCAUACUCCUACGGGAGGCAGCAAUCAGGAAUUUUCCGCAAUGGACGAAAGUCUGACGGAGCGACGCCGCGUGGAGGAAGACAGCCUUCGGGUUGUAAACUCCUUUUAUGAGGGAACAAGUUCUGAGUGUACCUCAUGAAUAAGGUGCUGCAAACUACGUGCCAGAAGCAUCGGUGAUACGUAGGCACCAAACUUUAUCCGGAUUUACUGGGCGUAAAGAGAAGCGUAGGUGUCUUGGCAAGUCUUGUGUUAAAUCUAUCGGCUUAACCGAUAAACCGCGCAAGAAACUAUCAAGAUUGAGUCAGCUAGGGGGAGAUGGAAUUUCCAGUGUAGCAGUGAAAUGCGUUGAUAUUGGAAAGAACACCAAUGGCGAAGGCAAUCUCCUGGGGCUUGACUGACACUAAGGCUCGAAAGCGUGGGGAGCAAAACGGAUUAGAUACCCGUGUAGUCCACGCCCUAAACAAUCUCUGCUAGUUGUCGGGG
This 705-nucleotide ribosomal RNA is filed under the name uncultured bacterium. Its description in RNAcentral is "SSU rRNA". It matches the Rfam family "Bacterial small subunit ribosomal RNA", at positions 93 to 828 of the family's 1533-position model. The record is from RNAcentral.